AGAAUCAACGCUGGCGGCGUGCCUAACACAUGCAAGUCGCACGAGAAAGGGGAGCAAUCCCUGAGUAAAGUGGCGCACGGGUGAGUAACACGUGAAUAAUCUACCUCCGAGUGGGGAAUAACUGAGAGAAAUCUUAGCUAAUACCGCAUAACACUUACGAGUCAAAGCAGCAAUGCGCUUGGAGAGGAGUUCGCGGCCGAUUAGUUAGUUGGCGGGGUAAUGGCCCACCAAGACGAUGAUCGGUAUCCGGCCUGAGAGGGCGCACGGACACACUGGAACUGAAACACGGUCCAGACUCCUACGGGAGGCAGCAGUGGGGAAUUUUGCGCAAUGGGGGAAACCCUGACGCAGCAACGCCGCGUGGAGGAUGAAGCCCCUUGGGGUGUAAACUCCUUUCGAUCGGGAAGAUAAUGACGGUACCGAUAUAAGAAGCCCCGGCUAACUUCGUGCCAGCAGCCGC
Molecule: ribosomal RNA, 460 nt
Filed under: uncultured bacterium
Lineage: Bacteria
Description: SSU rRNA
Rfam family: Bacterial small subunit ribosomal RNA
Source: RNAcentral